AGGAUCCAACCAAGUGUUGAGUAGAAGAGAAAAAAUAGCAAGAAAGGCAUUUUGCCAAAGAGAGAAACAAAUUCUCUCUAGUUGUUCUUUGCUUUGUAUCAUUGUUUUUUCUCUUCCUUUGUGAGUGUGUGAGGUUGGGUGUAUUUGGGUCUUUGGGAAAUUGAGUGGUAAACACUAUUGUAUUCUCUCAUUGAUUAUAGUGGAAUACUCCGUCGUCUCCAAACUGGAUGUAUGCAAUUGCCGAACCAGUAUAAAUCUUGGUGUUGUUCUUGUUGAUUAUUUUGUUCAAUUUUUCUCCUGCCUGUUGUUAUUUAUUUUUCACUCGCAGUUGGUUGACGCUUCCGCACAACAAGUGGUAUCAGAGCUCCAGUUUUUCGACUGGGGUUUCGUGGGAGUG
Molecule: long non-coding RNA, 397 nt
Filed under: Prunus dulcis (almond)
Lineage: Eukaryota; Viridiplantae; Streptophyta; Magnoliopsida; Rosales; Rosaceae
Description: sRNA ncRNA
Source: RNAcentral